This 196-nucleotide unclassified non-coding RNA is filed under the name uncultured Agaricales. RNAcentral's name for it is "sequence contains ITS2". The record is from RNAcentral. Lineage: Eukaryota; Fungi; Basidiomycota; Agaricomycetes; Agaricales.
AAUUCUCAACUACAAGAGUUUUCUUUUGUAGCUUUGGAUGUUGGAGGUUUUGCAGGCUCAGGUCAGCUCCUCUUAAAUGCAUUAGCAGAACUUUAGAAAAGGAUCGGCUUUGGUUUGAUAAUAUCUAUGCCAUCGCUGGAACGAGUUAUUAGUUCAGCUUAUAAUCGUCUUAGGACUGUCGAAAGGCAUCAUUUUA